AAUGGUUCUAGGCUUGGUCCCAAGUCAUGUCACAAUGGCAGGGGAAGGCCAGGGAGCAAGAAAUUCACCUACUAAUUGUUGAAAGGCAGUGCAGAGCAUGGCUGAAGAUGAAGGCUUGCAGCCAGACCACCUGGGUUUGUAUACCAAUCCUGACACUUCCUAACCAGACAUGCUGUAGCUCCUCCUGUGGCUUCCUCAAGAGUGAACUAUCCUGAGCCCUGGCCUCAUCACUCAGACCUCCAGCCCUGGCAACCAUCAGGACCCAGACAUGGCUAACAGAGACCUACCAGUUCUCCAGGCCCUUUCUUUCUCCCUUUUGCUCUCAUGUGCUUUCAUUUAAAAUAUCUCAGAUUCAUCAGUUCCAUUCACCCAUCUUUUUCCCACAGAUCCCCUGAAUAAAGGAGAAGCAGACACUGUU
Molecule: long non-coding RNA, 418 nt
Organism: Canis lupus familiaris (dog)
Lineage: Eukaryota; Metazoa; Chordata; Mammalia; Carnivora; Canidae
Exons: 3
Source: RefSeq, a predicted model, not a curated record